AAAAAAAAAAAAAAAAAAAAAAAAAAAAGUGAAACAAAAUUUGACUCAUUCCUAGGCCAGAGGACAUGAAGUAAAAGCAUUUAAAUGCAUAAGCUACCAAAUAUGAAUUGAUAUUUGUAAACAUCUCCAGAGUCAUUUUUGUGAACCUUGUUAUACAUCUUCAUAAAUGUAAGGAAGUUAAGAUAGGGAAAUUAGUUAUGCUUUUGAAUAUGAAUACUGCCCACAUAACACAUGAAUUAAUAGAUACAGAUUUUUCCAGCACCAAAGGCAAGACGCAUCUCUGUGAUUCAGACUAGAUUAAAUUCCCAUUUCCUUACCCCAGAGGAAGUACAUGGGCUGAAUUCUUGAAAAAAAGUCAUCAAGUUAUUGGUAAUACUAAAUUUUAUGUUGUGCAGAUGUCCUCCAAAAACAUUCUACUGAAAUGUUAAAGUUCUGGUAAGGAAUAAUAAAUAACCAGUGAACACUCUUCUCUCCAUGUUGAAAAAAAAAAAAAACAGGAAAAUUUCCUGAGUAACAAAAACAGUGGGUUUCAUUUAGACUGCAGUAAACAGGACGCAGUUUGUGUGUUUCUUUUGAUCUGGUUCAGUAACUUCCAAUAGAAAAUGUAGUCCACAGCAAAUAGAACACAAGCUCCCUUACCGCUUUGGGGUGUAGACUAAUAUCAUGUCAUUGCUUAUGUUUCUAACCUAUAGCAAUAAGGUGACCUCUGCAAAUGUUGAUUUUAAGAGCAAUGCCAUCAUAUCUCAUCCUUUAAACCCAAUAAAAGAGAGGCUCUUCCUAAAACACAGUUUGAGCUUUGGUCCUGGAGAACAUGGGCACCUGUUUGAGCUCAGCCCCCUCCUGCUUCCAGAAAUGGCCCUGUCCAUGGGAUCCGUGAGUGUCUUGCAGGCACUGGACUAGGUUGACCAGCCGUGGCUUGAGAAGUGGGUAGUGAGGAAGAGGGGAAGGAGCUAGAGCUCCUGGACUCGUUGUAGGGAGAUCUCUGUUCACCACCUUGCAUUGAGAAAAUCAGAUUGUUAGAUGUUGAAGAAGCACUGCUUGCCUUCACUAAACUCACUCUCCUAGAGGAGACAGAUGGCCAUGAAUUCCCUCUCCGGAUACUCGUAAAGGCCAUUUUUGCACGGACUCAAAGUCCUGUUUUGGCAUUUUUUAAAAAUUCUUUUUGGCAUAUGCUGAACAUAUUGGAGGAAAUCAUACUUGAACUUUAACACAAGCUACGCUGGACACAACCUGAAUUAAUAAUAGCCAUGGAUUUCUUUCAAAAACGAUUGGACUGUAUACAGGGCCUGCAUAGUAGACCACAAUCACAGCAUUCUCAGAGCCUGAGAAUGGUACUUAAAGGAGGUUGUAUUUGGAAUUUAUAAUGAAUUUUUUCAUGAUAUAAUUUUUAGUUUCCUUAACAGUUGGCCUCUAUUAAGAAUGCUGUCUAAAGUAGAAAUCACCAUCAAAUUAGCAAUCACAUUAUUAUUUAAUGAUUAGAGAUUUUGUCUAAAAUCUCUUUUGGCCUUAAAUAUCAAUUUGUAAUUAUGUUCAUGUCACUGCUGUCAGAGAUGCCUUUUCCAGGAUGUAAUCUCACUCCUAUCUCUCGCUCCCCUUGUCGUCUCCCUCACACGUUGUCACACGUGCUGUGUACACACAGAGAACACCCUGUGUACACAGUGGCAGCUGUCAGCAGCACCCACUGCAGCUGGGUGGGCCCCAGGUAAUCCUCUGUGCAAAGUGGCUAGAACAGGCUGUUCCUGCAUUAACAUAGGAGAAAAGGAAGAAUUUAGUAUCUGGUAAUAAUAUUUAUUUUCAUGUGUUUGAAGUAACCACAUGACUUAUACAUAGUUAAAUGAGGCAGAGGCCUCAAAGAGUUGUCGGCAUUUGUUUCACAUUAAAUCAAUUUAAAAUUAAAUUAAUUAGAACUAAACUUGGAGGUGUAGUUGUGCCUCUCGGUAAAACUUAAUGUUUGAGAGAGUAACUUUUACUGGUUUUCCUUGGUGCUGGUACUAACCCUGACUUCUUUAUUACUUAUCUUUACUUCUGCCACACUGUAGAAAUUGUCAGAAAAUAUAUUUCAAAAGCUUUCUUGUUUUGUUGUUUAUUGAAUCUUAUAGAAGGAAAAGCUUUUAAAAACAGUAACAGAAAAUAGAUCAUCAAAUGGAUAAAUAAGAUAGGAGCCUAUUCAAAACAACCAUGUUUUUACAUUAUGAUACCCUGUGUACUCUCACAGUGAAACCUUGAUUUGAAAUGUUGCCUUCACUUUGUGACACAGCAUAAACAUUCACUAUGUCAUUCAUGACUCCUUAGGUUCACUCAAUAAAUGGGGUUGCAAAACAACUUGAAUGGCAGACUCUGAGAACUUGUUUGGCUAUUCCUUACCUGCAAAACACACAUUGGGUUGAAAGUUGUUUGUUUUUGUCCUUAAUUUCUUUGGUUAUGGUUUGAUUCUUCUUAAUGCAUUUUAGUUGUUGAAAUAAAUUAAGCAAGUGUUUUAUUAAGUAAAUAAAUAUGAAAUGUUUCUUGAACCAGCAGUAAAAGAAAGAUGAGCUAUAACAGAGAAUCUGGAAGGAAAUGAAACAUUUGAAAUGUUAAGAGGCCAAGCAGCUUUCUCAGUACACAAUAGAUGUUUUCAUUUAAAUCAUGAUUUUCCUAUUUUUAUGAUGACAAGAAAACGCAGAUCCUUUCAACUGUCAUAUAAUUAUCUUUAAUGCUUUUCUAAUUUUGUCUUUCUUGGUUAAUGGUUUUAAUGCACAGACCAAUUACUUCACAUAUAGUAAGCUCCUAAUCAGCCUCUGUGUGUUUUGGAUCUGUGGCAUGAGUUGAAUAUUUUAUUAGGUUAAAGCUAACCAGAAACCUUUUUGUUUGCAUCCAAAAUAAUAUAUUUAUACCCUAUCUGAGAAUUAUUUUCUACCUUAGUAUGUAUAGACACAUUGAAUAUUAUUUGAUUUUUUUAUGUCUUUUUAAUCUUUAGAAUUAUCUGAUACUCAUUAUUUCAGAUAUCAGUGUUCUCCAUGCUAUAGAUUAAAUAUCAAAAUUUAAAUGAGUUUGACUGAAUAUGCAUGUAUAACACAUAACCUGGAGCUUGAAUUUUGAAACUGAAUCUUAAUAGGAUUGAGCUGUGGUCUUAAAAUAGAAAGCCAGAAAGAAGUUCCUAUCAUUCUGGAAUACCUGUAUAUACCACAUGAAAAAUAUAUUAUGACAUGACUUUAAAAUGUGUUUACAGGGGAUCUAUAUAAGUAUGCUAUUAAUGUAAAUUGUUUGGCCUUGGCUGUAUCUGCUCUGUUUUACUACCUAAAUGUGAAAAUGUUCCUCCUACAUAUUGUACAUGUGUUAAAAGAUUUGUCCACUUCUAGUACCAUCUAACUCACCACAUCCCUUGUCUACUUUUUAAAAAUCAAUAUAAAGAAAAACAGUACAUUAGCAUAAGCUUUGCAUAUAUGUACAUGUGUUUUUACUGAAAAUUAGGAGCUUGUAGCCUUUCGUAGACCUCUACCUGUCUGAUUGAUCAAUUGUCUACAAUGCUGCCAUGGAGACGAUGCUGUUUAUUCUCUCCUGCUUUGUCCUAACUGGUGUUUGAGAAAUGAGGCCUGUGAAUUUCCCUUUGUGAUAACUAUACAGUGAACUCAGCAGUCUCUUGACGAAUGAGCUGACCAUCUUGUCCCCUCCCUUGUUUUUUCUAUACAGUAAAUCAGAAAUCUUGUCCACGUUUGCUUCAGUAUUUACUAUUUUAUAUUCAUAUCUGAGCAUUUGUUUCCUGUUAGCAAUGCUUCGUGUGUGAAGCCCUUUUGGUUGAAUUGCUCCAAAUGCUGGUCAGCUGCUGCCACUUGGCAAAUGACAGGUGACUGCAGAAUCUCCUGCCCAUCCUUCCUAAUGAAAUUCUGCAACUGGCUGAGUAAUUAUAAAUGUCAUCUGUGCAGACACAUGGACUCAGGAUGGCUACAUAAUUUUAGACAUUUUUUCAAAAAAGGAAAAAAUGGUCUUGUAAAUAUUGAAACAGAUGCUUAUGAACUUUAUCCUACUCUUGGGGGGGGGCAAACUCUCCUUGGCAACAGAAAUCAAAUAAACUUGAUUUGCAAUGACCAAGGACCUAGACGGAGUGGAUGAAGGUGAGAAAAUUCUGUCUCACAAAUAACCAGAGGUCAUGACAACUACUUUUAACUGUGAACACUCACCAGCUAACCUACUCACUUGCCACAACCAAAAAACCUCUCUAAGUAAAUCCAAUACAUCUGUAUAUAUGUGUAGGUAGAAAUAACAAAAUAGCCUAAAAAAUUACUCUUAGGUAAUCAAAGUGGUGAUCAUUUUAAAGGACAUUUAAAUAACCAUGGGCCUUGCUGAAAUGACUGUGGAGGCCAGAAUGGUGCAACAAGGUGUUAUUUACAAGUUUGGUAUGUGUGUGUGUUUUUUAAGUCCCAGAUAUCUCAGAAACUAAUCAUGAGAAUAAAGACUGUUGAAUAUGAAAUCAAAGCCAAGCAAUAAUGUGCCAAAAAGAGGCAGUUAUACCAGCAAGUGCAAGUACUAUGGGCACACCACUCUAUAGUCAUGGUCUGCUCCGAGAAGACUUUAACCCACAGGAUAAAAGAUGUAACGGCUCAUUUCUCCUUUCUUACUGGAGAAGCUUGAUUAUGAGAUUAUUAAAGAGAUACAACACCCGUGAGCAUUACUAGGGAUAUGGUUAGCAGCCCAUACAGAAAAGGAGUCAGAAAGCCUUGCUAGCUUAAAACUCAAGACAGCUCCACCUGGAAACUUGGAGAAAUGGGGAAAUUAAACAUAUGGUAAUUACUCUUCCAGGACACUUGACAUGUAAAGCAAUUGGAUUAAUUCCGCCUGGAGGACUGCCCACCUUUGCUACGAAAACAUAGUUUUCCAAAUGUAAAGUAACUAAAACAUGAGUACUUAUAUCAAAAAGGGCCUCAAAUAAUGCCUUACAGAAAGAAAAGGAUGUUCCCGAUGGGCAUUCCUAAGUACUACUUCUUCAUCAAGUAUCUUGUUGAGUUCAAGCUCAACUCCACUGGCUGCAAAACAGUCGGAAUGAAAGUCACAUAAUUUGCACUUCAGUAAAAGGUACUGAUGAUCAGCCAGGGUGCUGAUAAUUAUGAUGAUACACCAGUGGUUUAAGUGUGUUAAGGAGAAUUACAUGGGAGAGAAACGCAGACUUCUCUUUUGAUUUCUUAAGAUGUGGGUAUGUCAUUCGCUUAUUUCUGGGGUGAAAAUUAUAGCUUGCUUUUUGACAUUGCUGCUAGCAUUACUCUUUAUUACUUUCAAAAUUAAAUUGUCUAUUCUUUAGAAAAACUUUUAAGCAGUUACAGAAUUUUUUUCUGGUUCUUAUCAAUGCUUUUAAUACCAAGUAAAGACUAUGUAUAGAGUAAAUAUAUUAAAUGAGUAAAAAAGCUUAUCCAGGUUUAUCAGUAAAUUUUAAUGAUUUUUUUAUUAGAUUCCUUAAUGUUCAUUUUAACUGCAUUUUUUGAGUAAAAUUAUUUUUCAUAAUGUUUUCCAUCAUAUCUUAAAGUGAUAUUGAUAAAUCAGGAGAUUGCAGUAUUAUAGUCAUACUCCUGAAUCCCUACAGGAGAGGAGAGACUAAUUCUUGUUUUAAGGGUAUCUUGAGAUACCUUAACUGAGGUUGAGAAAGGUCAAUGGGGCCUGAAAACUCAAGAAUACUUACUAACAAUUACUAAAUGUCUAAAUGUAUUUAUCUCUGCUGUAUUAAUAUGUUGUGAACAAUAUGUUGUGCAUAAUACUGUAGCUGGUCGUGGAAUGUCAAUACAUUCUGUAGAUGUGUAUGGUCUGCCAGUGGUUGGUUUUCUAUUUUUAUGUGUAGAAAAAAUUACAUGCCAUAUCCCAUUUUAAGGCCAAGUUCGGUCAUAAGGUAGGCACAUAUACAAAAAUGAAUAAAGCCAACAAAAGUGUGCAUGUGUAUUCAGUAACAGUCCUUUCCUUUUUGGAGGUCAGAAAGGGCUGUUGGUUUUUUUAAUCAUCUUCAAAAGUAGAUUACAUAAUUAUCACAAAGACUGAAUAUAGUAAUCAGUACAUUGGCAUGUUACUAAACAUGCCAGGGCUAAUUAACCAUGCCAUUAGUCACAGGUAAGGUCAGUUCUUUGACCACUGGGAUGAUUUACAUUCCUCACACAUCCUCUCCAUGUUAAGUGUGUGACUAGGAUAUACAUACUAUGGGUGUGAUUGUGUACAUACCUCGUAUGAAUUAUCUAAAUCCUCAAAGCAGCUAUGGGAAAGCAGGAAGAAGAAACCGCUGUUCAAAAGCCUCAAAAGGGCUAACCAAUGUGUAUUUUUAUUUUCUACACAUAAAAAUGUGUACACCACAUACUGUAAAUAGCUUGCAGACAUAAAUGCAUUUUAUUCAUACUAGUAUAUUUAAGUAAAUCACAAAACAACUCAUUGAAAACUGCAUCUUUCUAUGGCUGUUCUGUUUUACACAUACUAGUAUUAGUAUCAGGUCAGAUUCUCCAUUAAAUGGUAUUACUCUCUGGUAGCAGAUUUGGAAAAUUAGGAAAGCUCCACUGGGCCACAGAAAUCUACUUAGCAUCUUACUGAGGCACACCCUGUUCCAGAGCAGCUACAAAGGUUUAAUACUGUUUCUUUAAGCACCUAAUUUUAUAUCUGAAAAUGACAAAUACUGGGGAAAACCAAUUAUGUUUUGUAGACUCUGUUUGUACAUUUAUUAGUGUAUUUAUUUGCAUAGGCUGAUAAAAGCCCUACAUUUUUUUUAAAGGAUAUAUCCCUAGAUUUCAAGAGUGUAAUAAUCAUAUGAAGUGAAAAAUUAUUGUACACAUUCUUUUUUUUUUCUUUAAGAUUAGUCAAACAAUGUUUAGCAACACCAAAGAGAAGUUUAGAGAAAAAAAUUUGUUUUAAUUAUAGAUGAUGUUGGUAGGACAAUUGAAUAUGAACAAUUGUGAGUUCUUUAAGAUGGAUUCAAAUAAAUUACUAUUAUUAAUAAUAGGUGAUACUGUGUGGACUUGAUAACAAGAUUAUAGUCAUUAACUAGCAAAUGUCAACACUGGACAAUAUUUUUCAAUUUGUCACAAUUCCAAUCUGUGAACUGAUGUUGUUUGAGUUUCUCUCAUUUCUUCUGAAAGGAAAUACACUAUUAAAAUAAAAAAGUCUGAUCUGGUCCCUAAAACCUAAUAUGAUUUGACCCCAAUUCCUUGACAUUAAAACUUAUGUUGACUAAGUAUUUGGUUUAAGAUAUGAGGGGGAAAUAUCAGAAUUUUCCAUUAACAGAGAAUUCUGCAUGGUAAAGUACAAAUAUAACCACUUCUCACUAGAAAGUAAAUGAUGCCAUUUAAUAUGUAUUUGUAUUUUAGAGAAUGAAUGUGCCAUCAUUAUAUGUAAGAUAAAAAUAAAAGGUUAACCAACCACAAGAACACUAUAGUUACAACUACAGCUGGCUCUGUUUUUUAACUAAUAAAAACAUACUUGUUUAUAAGAACAGCA
Molecule: long non-coding RNA, 7434 nt
Organism: Pipistrellus kuhlii (Kuhl's pipistrelle)
Lineage: Eukaryota; Metazoa; Chordata; Mammalia; Chiroptera; Vespertilionidae
Exons: 2
Source: RefSeq, a predicted model, not a curated record